UACGGAGGGUGCGAGCGUUGUCCGGAAUCCCUGGGCGUAAAGGGCGCGUAGGUGGCGCGGUUAGUCAUCGGUGAAAGCUCAGGGCUCAACCCUGAGUCGGCCGGUGAUACUCCCGUGCUUGAGUGUGGUAGAGGCCACUGGAAUUCCGGGUGUAGCGGUGGAAUGCGUAGAGAUCCGGAAGAACACCGGUGGCGAAGGCGGUUGGCUGGGCCACAACUGACACUGAUGCGCGACAGCGUGGGGAGCAAACAGG
RNAcentral lists this ribosomal RNA (253 nucleotides) under uncultured bacterium. RNAcentral describes it as "partial 16S ribosomal RNA". It matches the Rfam family "Bacterial small subunit ribosomal RNA", at positions 524 to 776 of the family's 1533-position model. The record is from RNAcentral.